This is a long non-coding RNA of Mobula hypostoma (lesser devil ray), 430 nucleotides long. RefSeq lists it as uncharacterized. The transcript has 3 exons. The record is from RefSeq and is a predicted model, not a curated record. Lineage: Eukaryota; Metazoa; Chordata; Chondrichthyes; Myliobatiformes; Myliobatidae.
CCUAUAGACUUAUCGGAGCUUGGGUUGGUUUCGUUGCAACGUGUUUUGGAGGUGCAGUGGACUGGAAAACUCUGGGUACGACAGCAGACAGUCGAAGUACGACAUUCGUCGUGUUCACAGUUAAUAAAAGUGUCGCAGUUUUUUCCAGAACCGAGAAUGGGGUGUAAGGGUGAAGGUGCCUGAGUGCCUUCAACGAGAAUUGGAGGCAGGGAUCAAAGAAACCAACAUUUCUUACUGUGAAGUGCAUCGUUUGCAUUGAGGGUAUGCUGUGUGCAACCUGCAAGUGUCGCCACGCUUCCAGCACCAACAAAGAUGUUUACAACUUACCAACUCUAGCCCGUAUGUCUUUGGAAUGUGGGAGGAAACCCACAUGGUCAGGGGGCAAUCAUACAAUUACAACAGCAGGAACUGGAGCCUGAUCUUACAGGCA